CAGCCCGCGAGGUCCUGUCUGGAGGAAGCCCGAGUGCAAAAGUGCGAGGCGACGAACAGAAACCGCAUAAAAGGCCAAGCCUGCGGGGCGAGUUGGCACAUGACGACAAAGCCCUUUGGUUCAGUGGGUAUGGUAAAUGCGGCGCUUGCGCAUGGAACGUUCGCGUC
This is a non-coding RNA of Rhodoferax antarcticus ANT.BR, 167 nucleotides long. NCBI's taxonomy places the organism in Bacteria, Pseudomonadati, Pseudomonadota, Betaproteobacteria, Burkholderiales, Comamonadaceae. The record is from Rfam.